Non-coding RNA from Trichonephila inaurata madagascariensis, 73 nucleotides. The record is from the annotation of a GenBank genome assembly. Lineage: Eukaryota; Metazoa; Arthropoda; Arachnida; Araneae; Nephilidae.
UUCUCUGUGGCGCAAUGCAUUACGCGUUGGACUGCUAAUCCAAACGUCGUGAGUUCGAAUCCCACCUGAGAUG